RNAcentral lists this ribosomal RNA (496 nucleotides) under uncultured bacterium. RNAcentral's name for it is "partial 16S ribosomal RNA". It matches the Rfam family "Bacterial small subunit ribosomal RNA", at positions 29 to 507 of the family's 1533-position model. The record is from RNAcentral.
AUGAACGCUGGCGGCGUGCCUAAUACAUGCAAGUCGAGCGAACAGACGAGGAGCUUGCUCCUCUGACGUUAGCGGCGGACGGGUGAGUAACACGUGGAUAACCUACCUAUAAGACUGGGAUAACUUCGGGAAACCGGAGCUAGUACCGGAUAAUAUAUUGAACCGCAUGGUUCAAUAGUGAAAGACGGUUUUGCUGUCACUUAUAGAUGGAUCCGCGCCGCAUUAGCUAGUUGGUAAGGUAACGGCUUACCAAGGCGACGAUGCGUAGCCGACCUGAGAGGGUGAUCGGCCACACUGGAACUGAGACACGGUCCAGACUCCUACGGGAGGCAGCAGUAGGGAAUCUUCCGCAAUGGGCGAAAGCCUGACGGAGCAACGCCGCGUGAGUGAUGAAGGUCUUCGGAUCGUAAAACUCUGUUAUUAGGGAAGAACAAAUGUGUAAGUAACUAUGCACGUCUUGACGGUACCUAAUCAGAAAGCCACGGCUAACUACGUG